RNAcentral lists this ribosomal RNA (253 nucleotides) under uncultured bacterium. RNAcentral describes it as "partial 16S ribosomal RNA". It matches the Rfam family "Bacterial small subunit ribosomal RNA", at positions 524 to 776 of the family's 1533-position model. The record is from RNAcentral.
UACGUAGGGGGCAAGCGUUGUCCGGAAUUACUGGGCGUAAAGCGCACGUAGGCGGCUUUCUAAGUCAGGGGUGAAAUCCCGGGGCUCAACCCCGGAACUGCCCUUGAAACUGGAUGGCUAGAAUCCUGGAGAGGCGAGUGGAAUUCCGAGUGUAGAGGUGAAAUUCGUAGAUAUUCGGAAGAACACCAGUGGCGAAGGCGACUCGCUGGACAGGUAUUGACGCUGAGGUGCGAAAGCGUGGGGAGCAAACAGG